GGGUGGAUAGGGAAGGACCAUCAGGUGGGGGUGGGGCUAGGUGUGUCUGAGCUCAGACUCUUUUUGGGUGGGUCCUGCUGAAGCUGUUGUUGGGGAUGGGGGUGACAUUCCCAGGUCACUGGAGUUAUGUACCAGAAGGAUUAAGGCUGCCUCUGCUGAGUCAUGCAGGUUGUCAGGGAAGUCGGAGAAAGCUGACAGUCACUGGCCUCACCCAGCUCCCACGCAAACUGAAGGGCUGGUCUCACUCUCACCAUGCCCCCGUAACCCCAACAGCCCAGAGUCAGUUUUUAGGCGGAGGGUGAGAAUGGCUUGAAAAUUUGCUGAAUGCUAUCCAUCUCCCAGCCCCCAGAGAAAAGGGCUUUAGUUCCUCCCCCUGCCUGUGAAGUCUGCAGGCCAGAUUCGCGCCCUCCCCCGAGUUCUGGCCAGGAGGCUUCUUGCCCUGUUCAAAUGGUUACAAAGUUCAGCUAGAGAAUUCCUUCUCCCUGUAGAGUUUUACCCCCUGCUCCUCUGGCCGCCCUCCGGAUGGAUCUUUGUGCUGCCAGGCAGGAAUGGGCUGCUUGGGGACCCAGUGAGCUCCGAGGGCCUUUCUGCUGCUUCCUGUACCCCUGUAUUUCGCUCGGCUCUCUGACUUGACUCAGCUCCAGGCAUCUACUCCUGGAGAAAGAGCCCAAUGAGAAGUAAUCUCUGAAGCCCAGAUUUCCUAAGGAUGAAGCUUCAGGAGAGGUCUUAUCAAUCCUGACAACAAACUUUUCUCGUCAAUUUAGUUUCAUUUAAUGGAAGUUUUAAAUGUGGAAAGUUCAGAAGGCUAUUAAAAUUGGUUCCAGCUAUCUAAGAUACACACACAACCACACACGCGCACACACGGUAGAGAUAAAUAUGUUCGAA
Molecule: long non-coding RNA, 885 nt
Filed under: Pan troglodytes (chimpanzee)
Lineage: Eukaryota; Metazoa; Chordata; Mammalia; Primates; Hominidae
Description: lincRNA
Source: RNAcentral